CCUAGCGGUGAAGGUCAGCGGUGCCGUUGAUGGAUAUCUAGCGGAGCUUUGUUUCCGGCUGACGAAGCCUAGCGGAGAAGUUUCCCGCUGAUGAAGCUUAGCGGAGGAGGCUUUGCAUGGUGGGUCAAGAUGGUCAGCGGAGGAGAGUUCAGCGGUGGAGCAGCUCGGCGGAGCGGGGCUAGUGGUACCGCUGAUGGUUGUUGGCGGAAGGGCUUACCGGCAGAGGUUUUGCCGCUGCUGUAUUCUAGCGGUGUUUGUGGCUAGCGCGGACUUAGUGUGCAGCGGGGAGUCGGUGGAGGACCGGACUGGAUUCUGCAGCUGCCAUCACCAAGGAGCCUGGGGUCAGCGGUGUAUAGUCCGACGGAGGCUCGACACCUGGAGCUCAGCGGAGACUGGAAGUUCAGCGGAGACUCCUAAUGGCUAGCGGAGG
This 430-nucleotide long non-coding RNA is filed under the name Rosa chinensis. Its description in RNAcentral is "sRNA RchiOBHm_Chr5g0062551". Lineage: Eukaryota; Viridiplantae; Streptophyta; Magnoliopsida; Rosales; Rosaceae. The record is from RNAcentral.